UUCAAAGCCUAGUGCAGCAUGUUAGCAUAGCAUGUUAGCAUAGCAUGUCUACAGUGUUUGAUUCUGUUCACUAAAGAUGUGUUGGUCUGAAACGUCCCCCAUCAGAACCAGAACCCUCUGAUACUGAAUGCUGGAGUCAGAUUGUCAACAACCAAUCAACAGACACUUCUUGUCCUCUGGUUCCUCCCAAACAUUUGAUCCAAUAUCCAAUCAGGACAUGUCCCUCUCUUUUUUUGAUUAGAGCUCGUUGUCUCCUGAUUAAACUGUUUGUUCUUGUAAAACAUGCAAACAGAAUGAAAUGAACGCUGCCAUGCACCAAUCAGCCAAUCAGCAUCCAGCCCAAGACUUCACCUUUGAGGACGGAGCCUGACCCUUCCUGUUACCUUUGAUGUCAUUAAUCAGUCACAUGAUCAGGAGACACUUCAGUUUCUUUAUGGACGACGACUCGUGUGACCGACAGCUCAGGAUGCUGCCGCCGCGCCUCACUUAGUGCCACCGCCAGAGCCUUCGAGAGAGACAUGGGGUUAGACCUGGUCCAGGCCCAGGUCUGGGUUCUGUCCUGGGGCAAUCCAAGUCUAGGUCUUUGACGGUUUAAUUUUGAUUGUCUUUUUUUAAAGUCUUGGAUUUGCUGUGUUGUGUUCAAAUGGACAAAUUGCUCUUGUGUGAUUUGUUUUAGUGGUCCAGAACCUGCGACUUCUCUCUUCGACUGUUCCGGUCUGAAGCACAUUUUAUUAAGAGUUUCUGUGAUUCUACAACGAGCAAAGAUCAAGAAUAAUAAAAAAGUUAAUAUAGAGUCGCAGAUAUUUAGGUGAUCGGUUCUCCAGUUGUAUAACUCAGUUCACUAUUUAAACCACAUGUAACAUAAUAACUGCAGUAACUCACAGACAUGUCGACACAGAUGUGACUUCUGACCUGAUGGUCCAGGACCUGAAUCGUUGCUCGUCAGCGACGUCCCUCAACGUUCUUAUCAAACUGUUCAGGCUGAAAUUCUGCCCAGUUAUAAAAGUGGUGACUCUGUACUAUG
Scophthalmus maximus (turbot) is the source of this 1024-nucleotide long non-coding RNA. RefSeq lists it as uncharacterized. The transcript is spliced from 2 exons. The record is from RefSeq and is a predicted model, not a curated record. Lineage: Eukaryota; Metazoa; Chordata; Actinopteri; Pleuronectiformes; Scophthalmidae.